AAUAACGUGAGGACAUCUGGAUGA
RNAcentral lists this microRNA (24 nucleotides) under Prunus persica (peach). RNAcentral describes it as "microRNA miRNA_124". Lineage: Eukaryota; Viridiplantae; Streptophyta; Magnoliopsida; Rosales; Rosaceae. The record is from RNAcentral.